RNAcentral lists this ribosomal RNA (253 nucleotides) under uncultured bacterium. Its description in RNAcentral is "partial 16S ribosomal RNA". It matches the Rfam family "Bacterial small subunit ribosomal RNA", at positions 524 to 776 of the family's 1533-position model. The record is from RNAcentral.
UACGGAGGGUGCAAGCGUUAAUCGGAAUUACUGGGCGUAAAGCGUGCGUAGGUGGUUCGUUAAGUCCGUUGUGAAAGCCCCGAGCUCAACUUGGGAAUUGCAGUGGAUACUGGCGAGCUAGAGUGCGGUAGAGGAAGGUGGAAUUCCCGGUGUAGCGGUGAAAUGCGUAGAGAUCGGGAGGAACACCAGUGGCGAAGGCGGCCUUCUGGACCGGUACUGACACUCAGGCACGAAAGCGUGGGGAGCAAACAGG